RNAcentral lists this ribosomal RNA (648 nucleotides) under Symbiodinium sp. Mmir6/1. Its description in RNAcentral is "LSU rRNA". It matches the Rfam family "Eukaryotic large subunit ribosomal RNA", at positions 33 to 673 of the family's 3401-position model. The record is from RNAcentral. Lineage: Eukaryota; Dinophyceae; Suessiales; Symbiodiniaceae.
UUUAAGCAUAUAAGUAAGCGGAGGAAAAGGAACUAAAUAGGAUUCCCUCAGUAAUGGCGAAUGAACAAGGAUGAGCUCAGGCUGGAAACCGAUACAUCUGUGUCGGGCUGUAGCCUGCAGGCAUAGCGCUAUCGGCGGCUCGAGCGCAAGCCUCUUGGAAUAGAGCGUGUGCCCAGGUGAGAAUCCUGCAUUUCGCUCGAUGUCCGCUGUCCACAGUGCUUGUCCUGAGAGUCACGCUCCUCGGAAUUGGAGCGUAAAUCAGGUGGUAAGUUUUAUCCAAAGCUAAAUAGAAGCUCGAGACCAAUAGCAAACAAGUACCAUGAGGGAAAGAUGAAAAGGACUUUGGAAAGAGAGUUAAAAGUGUUUGAAAUUGCUGAGAGCGAAGCGAACGGAGCCACAUGUCGUGCUGAGAUUGCUGUGGGUCUUUGUGAGCCUUGAGCAUGUAAGCGCAAGCUGACUGCUUAUGUGUGAGCAUUUGCCCGCAGUGUUUCUCAGCAUGCGAGUCAUUAGCCACAUUUGUUUGAGGAUGGCCUUCAGCUCACAUGGUACACUUGUUAGUGUUCCUCUGUGCGGUGUGGGACUCAGACAGGUGUGGCUUGUUGACCCAGUGGUUUUUUUCCGACCCGUCUUGAAACACGGACCAAGGAG